GCCAGGUGGGCUGGCUUAAUCCCUGUUUCCAAGGGAGACUGAGGCUGGGGGAUCUCUUGAGCAUGGGAAUUUUGAGCUGCAGAGGAAUAAACAGAUAGUGUCAGCACUAAAUUGGCAUUUAUGUGGUGUGAAUCUCUGGAACUGGGGCCCACCAGAUUUCCUAAGGAGAGGGAAACCAGCCCAGGUUGGACAUAGAGCAGGCCAAAAGCUCCUGUGUGGAUUAGAGUGGGCCCCUGAAUAUCUUCUGCAUUUCCAGCCCCAGCAAGAUAGAGAGUCCCAGUCUCAA
RNAcentral lists this signal recognition particle RNA (286 nucleotides) under Vombatus ursinus (common wombat). Its description in RNAcentral is "Metazoan signal recognition particle RNA (ENSVURG00010007424.1)". It matches the Rfam family "Metazoan signal recognition particle RNA". Rfam says of the family: The signal recognition particle (SRP) is a universally conserved ribonucleoprotein. The record is from Rfam by way of RNAcentral. Lineage: Eukaryota; Metazoa; Chordata; Mammalia; Diprotodontia; Vombatidae.